UAGGCAAAAAGAAAUUAAGUUUUAAAAUGCUGUUAGUCUUUAAAAUAAGACCCGAAACUAAGUGAUCUAACCAUGAGCAGGCUGAAAUUAAGGCGGAAAAUGCCUUUCGGAGGGCCGAACCCGUGUAUGUGGAAAAAUACUGGGAUGACUUGUGGUUAGGGGUGAAAGGCCAAUCAAACUUAGAGAUAGCUGGUUUUCUGCGAAAUCUAUUUAAGUAGAGCGUUUAAAGU
RNAcentral lists this ribosomal RNA (230 nucleotides) under uncultured Symbiodinium. RNAcentral's name for it is "partial Bacterial large subunit ribosomal RNA". It matches the Rfam family "Bacterial large subunit ribosomal RNA", at positions 663 to 889 of the family's 2925-position model. The record is from RNAcentral. Lineage: Eukaryota; Dinophyceae; Suessiales; Symbiodiniaceae.